Molecule: ribosomal RNA, 432 nt
Filed under: uncultured Tsukamurella sp.
Lineage: Bacteria; Bacillati; Actinomycetota; Actinomycetes; Mycobacteriales; Tsukamurellaceae
Description: bacterial SSU rRNA
Rfam family: Bacterial small subunit ribosomal RNA
Source: RNAcentral
AACGCGAAGAACCUUACCUGGGCUUGACAUAUAGAGGAUCGCUACAGAGAUGUGGUUUCCCUUGUGGCUUCUAUACAGGUGGUGCAUGGUUGUCGUCAGCUCGUGUCGUGAGAUGUUGGGUUAAGUCCCGCAACGAGCGCAACCCUUGUCUUAUGUUGCCAGCACGUUAUGGUGGGGACUCGUGAGAGACUGCCGGGGUCAACUCGGAGGAAGGUGGGGAUGACGUCAAAUCAUCAUGCCCCUUAUGUCCAGGGCUUCACACAUGCUACAAUGGCCGGUACAGAGGGCUGCGAUGCCGUGAGGCGGAGCGAAUCUCUUAAAGCCGGUCUCAGUUCGGAUUGGGGUCUGCAACUCGACCCCAUGAAGUCGGAGUCGCUAGUAAUCGCAGAUCAGCAACGCUGCGGUGAAUACGUUCCCGGGCCUUGUACACAC